AGUCUUGUUUAAAGACGUUCUGAAACCAAUUAAUGGACUUCCUCCAGAGAUCUCAUAUUGACUCUUUCAUUACUGGUGCAGUUUUUCCUUUCAUGAAGAAGGAGAAAGCUUUCAGGCAAAUCCUGUUACCUCUGACCUGCAGGUGGGAAAAGCACCAUGGCCCAGUCCAUCAUCCCUCCUCCAGCCUUUCCACUGGUGGGAUCAGACCAUUUUUGAGCUUGAAAUCACACAGGGGAUGUCCACCUUUUCUACACAAGCAGAUGGCACUGGAACAACAGGUCUCUGUGCACGAGGCAUGGCUUUGUGGAUGUGCAGUUCACAGCGAGCAUAAAACAAAGUAAAACCAGACUGAAAACUUUCAUUACCCAGCAAUGCAAGUCACAACAGCAGGGUUAAAUCUGUUUCUAUUUAGACAAUAUCUGGAACAGCGUUUUAUUAUACAGCCUGUAAAGCACUGCCUGUGCAUGGGUGGAAAGUACAUUGUCUCCUUAAAUAAAGAACUGGGGCAGGAUUGUUUGGCA
Molecule: long non-coding RNA, 521 nt
Filed under: Numida meleagris (helmeted guineafowl)
Lineage: Eukaryota; Metazoa; Chordata; Aves; Galliformes; Numididae
Description: lncRNA (ENSNMEG00000018736.1)
Source: RNAcentral